This 1049-nucleotide long non-coding RNA is filed under the name Cricetulus griseus (Chinese hamster). RNAcentral describes it as "lncRNA (ENSCGRG00000025284.1)". The record is from RNAcentral. Lineage: Eukaryota; Metazoa; Chordata; Mammalia; Rodentia; Cricetidae.
CCUGAAUAUUCUAAACGCCUUAACUCUGCUUCCUGUGGCUGAUAUUUGGUGCUUUCCGAAGACUGUGUGAUUACUUCAGGUUGUUGUAGUAACACGCUCCACCCAGCCAUGUCCCCCCGGGGGACACAUAUCUCGGCACAGGCAUGUACCCAAAGCAGGUGACUGAAGAAGGUUAGGCAGAAGUGGUUCCCUUGGGAGGAGGACCAGGAGGCCGUGAAUCUUUCUAGUCUUGGUGCUGAGUGAACUGGAGCCACAGCAAACUGUAACCUUCUAAGGUUAGCAUAGGAACUGCGUUCCCACAGACUCACUUCCCGCUUUCCCACGGUGAGUCACACCCUGGUUUUGUUUCCUCAAGCAGAUAACAGUUAAUGUCAAUGAAACACGGAACUUUUUUUAAAAAAAAAAAAAACACUGAUAACAGAGUGUUAUGUAUUUAAAAGCUAGUUUCACUUUUAAGUUCAUCCAUGAGAGAAGUCAGUCAGGAGUUUGGGGAAAAAUGUUUUUCUUCCCACAUACAUUAGCAGAACCAUUCCAACAUUGGCUAGCAAUGCAGGAGACAUCAGUCGAAUUGCACGAGAUCACUUCUUUGGUAGCAUCAGUAGCAUUAGAGAGCAGAAAGAAAAAAGGAGCUUUUAAGCAUUCACUUUCUGACUGUUCUGACCUUUCUUCUUGGAGCAUUUCAAGGGCAGCCUGUCCAUUUGCUAUAGCUUUCUUAUUUCCCCCUUUGUCCUCUAGACAGCUGCGCACCAGGCGCCAAACCGGGCGAACACUCGGCUUCAACGCUCCUUGCUCCCAGGCAAAAUCCAGGUCUUUCCCUAAUUUAUCCCAACUAUCCACAGUGAGAUUGCCCGAGGCCGCAAACCAGGGUGCAAUGGUGUCGCAUUCACUCAGGAACCUCUGUAAUGUGGCUUUAGUUAACCUUAAAUUGUUAGAAUGAAGUAGCUCUUGAAGAGCCAGAAAAAUUGGAUGUGAUUGUGACGAUCCCAUUGUGCUUUUGUCUUAGCUAGCGCGCUCCGAAGGUGUGCAAGUCGGAUAACACCACCAGAAAA